This 503-nucleotide ribosomal RNA is filed under the name Pantoea sp. pp04. Its description in RNAcentral is "bacterial SSU rRNA". It matches the Rfam family "Bacterial small subunit ribosomal RNA", at positions 1 to 498 of the family's 1533-position model. The record is from RNAcentral. Lineage: Bacteria; Pseudomonadati; Pseudomonadota; Gammaproteobacteria; Enterobacterales; Erwiniaceae.
UUAUAGUGUGGAUCAUUGCUCAGAUUGAACGCUGGCGGCAGGCCUAACACAUGCAAGUCGGACGGUAGCACAGAGGAGCUUGCUCCUCGGGUGACGAGUGGCGGACGGGUGAGUAAUGUCUGGGGAUCUGCCCGAUAGAGGGGGAUAACCACUGGAAACGGUGGCUAAUACCGCAUAACGUCGCAAGACCAAAGAGGGGGACCUUCGGGCCUCUCACUAUCGGAUGAACCCAGAUGGGAUUAGCUAGUAGGCGGGGUAACGGCCCACCUAGGCGACGAUCCCUAGCUGGUCUGAGAGGAUGACCAGCCACACUGGAACUGAGACACGGUCCAGACUCCUACGGGAGGCAGCAGUGGGGAAUAUUGCACAAUGGGCGCAAGCCUGAUGCAGCCAUGCCGCGUGUAUGAAGAAGGCCUUCGGGUUGUAAAGUACUUUCAGCGGGGAGGAAGGCGAUGUGGUUAAUAACCGCGUCGAUUGACGUACCCGCAGAGAGACCCAUUCCC